UGCCUAACACAUGCAAGUCGAACGAAUUUAGGGGCUUCGGCCCCAACAGUUAGUGGCGGACGGGUGAGUAACGCGUAGGAACCUACCAGGCAGUGGGGAAUAACAGCUGGAAACGGCUGCUAAUACCGCAUACGUCCCUUCGGGGAGAAAGAUUUAUCGCUGUUUGAGGGUCCUGCGUUCGAUUAGCUAGUUGGUGUGGUAACGGCGCACCAAGGCUACGAUCGAUAGCUGGUCUGAGAGGAUGAUCAGCCACACUGGGACUGAGACACGGCCCAGACUCCUACGGGAGGCAGCAGUGGGGAAUAUUGGACAAUGGGGGAAACCCUGAUCCAGCAAUGCCGCGUGCGUGAAGAAGGCCUUAGGGUUGUAAAGCGCUUUCACCUGUGAUGAUGAUGACAGUAACAGGAGAAGAAGCCCCGGCUAACUCC
RNAcentral lists this ribosomal RNA (428 nucleotides) under uncultured bacterium. RNAcentral's name for it is "bacterial SSU rRNA". It matches the Rfam family "Bacterial small subunit ribosomal RNA", at positions 45 to 504 of the family's 1533-position model. The record is from RNAcentral.